AUGAAGCAGAGGCCAUCUGAGGUUAGUUGUCGGCGUGGGGACCGUCCCCUGGGGCGGCGCCUUCCCGGGGGACCCUCAGCGCACACUGCCCUCCCAGGAGAUCAUUUCCUGGGCCCCCCGAGUGUGAGGAGGCAAGGAGCGAACCACAAAUGCGUGGUCUUUGACGUUCCUGGAACGACCACCCGCCACCGCCGGCGGGGGGGAGGGGGAAGCCCGAGAGGCCCGCGCCUCCUGCGGGACGUGCGCGCGGGCGGCGGGUGCUCGGGGUUCCCCGGGGCUGAGCGCGCCGCGGGCUGCAGGCCUCCGCCCGCCGGCUCGGGCCUCUCCCGGGGGUGGGGGUGCGGGGUGGGGGUAGGGGGGUGGACGGGGGCUGGGAGACCCGGGGCUGGGGGGGGCGGCGGAGGAGGAGUCCUUGGCCCCGCGGGAGGCCUGGGCUGCACCCCGUCUCCCGGCCCCCUCCCCACGGGGUGCAGGCCUCCGCCCGCCGGCUCCGGGCCUCUCCCGGGCAGGGGCGGGGACGAGGGCGGGGAGACCCAGGGCGGGGGUGGGGGGGAGGAGGGGGAGGAGGAGGAGGCCCGGGCUGCACCCCCCGCCCCCCGGCCCCCUCCCCGCGGGGUGCAGGCCUCCGCCCGCCGGCUCCGGGCCUCUGGGGGGGUAAGAGGGGAAGACCUGGGGCGGGAGUGGGGGGGCGGCGGCGGAGGAGGCCCGGGCUGCACCCCCCGACCCCCUCCCCGCGGGCUGCAGGCCUCUGCCCGGCAGCUCCGAGCCUCUCCCGGGCACGGGGGGGGACGAGGGCGGGGAGACCCGGGGCGGGGUGGGGGGGGGAGGAGGAGGAGGAGGAGGAGGCCCGGGCUGCACCCGCCCCCCCCCCGCCCCCUGGCGCCCGGCCCCCUCCCCGCGGGGCUGCAGGCCGCGCCCUCUCCUCCGGCCCCGCCGCCGGGGAGGGGUUUCCCGGGACGAGCCGGCCCCUUUCAUCCAGGAAGUGAAAGCGACGUCGGGGUCAAUGAAAGCAAGCGGGGAGCCCGGGGCGGGGGGGGAGGGCGCAGCCGGGGCGCGGGAGGGCGCAGCCGCGGGCUGGCAGCGCGAGCCGGAGCCGGGGGCGCUGGUGCCUGA
This 1113-nucleotide long non-coding RNA is filed under the name Canis lupus familiaris (dog). RNAcentral's name for it is "lncRNA (ENSCAFG00000056853.1)". Lineage: Eukaryota; Metazoa; Chordata; Mammalia; Carnivora; Canidae. The record is from RNAcentral.